Molecule: ribosomal RNA, 254 nt
Filed under: uncultured bacterium
Lineage: Bacteria
Description: partial 16S ribosomal RNA
Rfam family: Bacterial small subunit ribosomal RNA
Source: RNAcentral
UACGUAGGGUGCAAGCGUUUAUCCGGAAUUAUUGGGCGUAAAGAGCUCGUAGGCGGUUUGUCGCGUCUGCUGUGAAAACUGGGGGCUCAACCCCCAGCCUGCAGUGGGUACGGGCAGACUAGAGUGCGGUAGGGGAGAUUGGAAUUCCUGGUGUAGCGGUGGAAUGCGCAGAUAUCAGGAGGAACACCAAUGGCGAAGGCAGAUCUCUGGGCCGUAACUGACGCUGAGGAGCGAAAGCAUGGGGAGCGAACAGG